Long non-coding RNA from Brassica napus (rape), 1819 nucleotides. RefSeq lists it as uncharacterized. The record is from RefSeq and is a predicted model, not a curated record. The transcript has 3 exons. Lineage: Eukaryota; Viridiplantae; Streptophyta; Magnoliopsida; Brassicales; Brassicaceae.
CCGACCCGUACUAAUAAAAUUUUAGUAUGGGACCUAGGAGCGUAAACCCGAAAACCCAAAAAACCUGAUCCAAACGCCAACGGGUACCCGAACGCCCAUGCCUACAAAGAUCUAAAGAAGCAUACAAAUUGUUCAUAUAAAGAGAUCAAGAAGCAAAUAUAAGUCUCAAAGUAACCCACAAAGUAUCAUCCUCAGCAGAUUCUUUGACAUCAUCAACCUUCUUACUCUCAACUUCAUCACCGUCCUCAUCGUUAUCAGUUUCCUUUUGAUUGUCUUCAACUACAGCUUCAGCUGGAGUCAACUUAGACUCAGCCACAGUAGGGAGCAGUUGAAUUCCAGCAAAGGGAUUGGUUGUUGCUACAGGUGGCGCAGCAGAAGGUUCUUUGCACUUGAUUCUGACGAUUCUCCUACUAGCCAAAACCUCAUCACUGACUUUCUUGAAAGUCCCACUCUCAAAGUCAGCUGAAGCAUCCUCAUCAUCAACUGGAUUCUCCCGAGACAGCUGCUUCAAAGCACCUCUCUUUUUAGAAGGUGGCUGCGCGCUUUCUGAGUCUCCCACCUGAAAACUGUUUGAGAGAGUAUCAACAAACACUUAAAGAACACCCUACAAAACAAAAAUUAACAUAAGUAUACUUACACAGAUAAAGAAUAAUUACAAUGCUAAAGAACACCAAAGCUCAAACAUGAUAACAAUGCAACUGAAAUUGCUUAUGCAAAGAAAAAAAGCUGAACUUUUUCUUUCUUUUCUUCAAUCCAACUAAAAGACAGAAACAAAAGAGAGUGUAUAGAUCUACAACAAUAGUGAAUCUGUUAACCUCUAGCUCAAUCUAUAAAAAAACCUAGAUGAAAGGAAGAUUCGACCACAUUUUCGAAUUAGGAACCAAUCAAAUCUAUCACGGAGCUUGAAAUAGAUCGAACAAGUAAGUAGUGAUUUCAAAAACCCUAGAAUCGGAGCAGCUAGACAGACCUAAGACCAUUUCCGAGAAAUUGGGAAUGAGGAAAGGCAUAGAUAGAUUCGACAAUUGACUUUGCGGUUAUGCUAGUUCGGAAAACGUAUUUAAACUUUAAUACUCCCUCCGUUUUUUAAUAUAAGUCGUUUUAGAAUUGUGCACAUAAAUUAAGAAAUCAUUAAUUUUUUAUAUUUUCUAAACAAAAACAUCAUUAAUUAUUUACCUAACCACAAAUCAACCAAUAAUAAAAUAGAAAGUAUAUUAUCAUUGGUCAUAUAACAUUAAGUGUUAAUAAAUUUUACAUAGAAAAUCAAAAACGUCAUAUAAUUUGGAACAUAAAAAUUUCUCUAAAACGAUUUAUAUUAAUAAACAGAGGCAGUAAUAUAGAUAUAACCCAACAUAUUUAAAUUGACUUUGCAGUUAUGUUAGUUCGGACAAUUGUCAUUGGACGGGACAAUAGAGUGCUUAAAAACCCUAAACCAAUAAAAGAAGCAUCCCCGAAACACAACAAUCGUAAAACCUAAACCAAUAAAAGGCCGCCCCAAACGAGAUUUAUUGUUAUACAAAUAACUUGGCUUUCUUCUCUGUAGGGUUAUUUUCUUUCAACUUCAACUUCCCCAUGGCGAGUUCUAGCAAAGCUAAUUCACUGGGUAAGCGAAAGCCGGAAGAUGAUUUGGACACUGAACCGGUUCUGAGGAGACAUAAAUCCGAGGCGAAGGAGACAAAGUCUGAUGGUCAGCUUUAAACUCAGCCAAGGAGACAAUUGAAGGACUUGAUGAAGAUCCAGAUUUUGUUGAGGAAGCUGCAGGACCACCUAAUAAGAAGCUCUUUCUUGAGAAACUCCCUAGCCAAACUGAAAUAUCAGAUGU